GCAGAGAGGAGGGAGCCCAUGACCUUGCUGGUCAGCAGCUUUCCCACCAGCCUGUAUCUCUUUGCGGGAGGAGAUAGUCCAGUUGCUUGUCCUUGACGGUGUCUGUCUCCAUGGAGGAUGGUCGAUUCUGGAGCCAGAAAGCCAGAGAACUGGCCCUGAGCUAACAUCCAUGCCCAUCUUCCUCUACUUUAUACGUGGGAUGCCUGCCACAGCAUGGCUUUUGCUAAGAGGUGCCAUGUCUGCACCGGGGAUCCGAACCGGCUAACCCCGGGCCACCGAGAAGCAGAACAUGAGGACUCAACCACUGCGUCACCAGACCGCCCGGCGUUCAGUUUUGAAGUGAAUGGAUUUUUCUCUGAAAUCCCCCAAGGAACAAUCAUGGUCCUUAUGCCCUUAAGGAGGCUGUCGGCUGCUGAGGGCUGUCAAUCUGACAUACUUCUCUAGUUCUACAGGGAGACGAAAAUACCAUUUAAGUCUUAUUCCAACAUUUCUCAAAUCAUGUGGGUAUUACCAAGCAUGAAAUCAUCAUCUGAAAACUCAAUUUUAUAAAGAGUCGUUUCUUCAGGAAAAAUACGAAAGAACAUUCCUCCUGUUUACUCUGAGAUUUGCUUUUUUUCAAUAGUGUGGUUAUUGUGUCUUUCUUAAUCUUUGGGGAUUAGGCUUCCAUUUUUCACCUAGACUGCAAUUUGCUCAUAAAUCUCUUCAUCUUUGCUUAAUUCAAAUGUUUUGGCCAACUUCAUGGUUUAAUAAUGAGAAAUAAAAUUGGAGUCCUAAUGAUUACUAAGGAGGGAAUUUUCAUUUCGUCUGGAAUUUAAAGAGCUGUGAAAGGGGCGGGCAGCCAUCAGGCAAGCUGCCACAACCUUGGCUGGAGCAUGCUCAAUGCUGUGGGGUGUUAGACAGUUCCUUUUACCCAGGGUAAUUCUCCAAUGAUUACUUGAAAAUCCUUCAAAUCCAGCCCUACUUACAUCCACCGAUUGCUAUGCCCCUAUUGAUUAGUUACAAACUAUUAAUUGAAUUCAGGCCGUCUGAGAAGACCCCAGGUCCCUGGAGCUUCCAUCGCAUACUGCCCAUCAGAGCCAAGGCCAGUUACCCAGUUCCAAGAUGCUUCGACGCAAGUCAUGUAAUGGGGGGACUGGGACCACGAUUCUCAGAUAACUAGGCAGGACAGAGUUCUGUUUCAGCACUUCCACAUGAGCAGACAAAUUUGAAAGACAGAAGUAACUAGAAAAUGAUUUAAAACCCCUUUCUCAUAAGUUUACCAUUGGAGAAAGGUAUCCACAGCAUGGCUGUGUAGCCUAGAAUUCCCAGGGCAGAAAGGAAACAGGAGCUGGGUAAUUCCCUUUGUGCAGAGAGGAGCUUUGGUUUCUCUUGCUUGUGUAGAAUAGAGCGGUCCUCUGAGGCAGUCAACGGAGAGGCCGCCUGGCACUGCGGGCAACUGGCUGGAGACAGAACAACCCACUUCUACUGGGGGCUUAUUGGAUGGUUAGAAAAAAUAAUCUCCGAUUCUUCCACCCUAGUCAAGGCCCUUCAGGUAUGUCCCAGGCCAUCUUUCCUCUCCACAUAUCACUUCUAAGAAGUAUCCUACAAUUACUCAUUUAGCAUUAAUUGUAUAUUGACUUAGGUUAGAAUGCUCUGUGCAAUUAGACUUGACUUUUAACACAGACUGUAAAUGCCUCAAGGGCAAGAACUUUAUUUUAUAUUUUUUGCUCAUUCAUAUAUUGAUCGAUAAAUGAAUCAUCAAUUAAUCCACUCAUUAAUCCAAUACCCACUCUGCUGAGACCACUGUGCAAGGCUUAUUUCUAGAUACUCCAGGGCCUCCAGACGAGUGUGGAACAUAAUUUCUGCCUUCCAGUAGCGCACAAUCUUGUUGGAAAAGCUCAGUGUGUAAGGAGAGAAAAUUAAGAUAACGCCGUAGCAGAC
Molecule: long non-coding RNA, 1920 nt
Organism: Equus caballus (horse)
Lineage: Eukaryota; Metazoa; Chordata; Mammalia; Perissodactyla; Equidae
Source: Ensembl